Molecule: unclassified non-coding RNA, 210 nt
Filed under: plant metagenome
Description: partial contains small subunit ribosomal RNA, internal transcribed spacer 1, and 5.8S ribosomal RNA
Source: RNAcentral
UCUCCGUUGGUGAACCAGCGGAGGGAUCAUUAGUGGAAUCGCAAGAUCCCACAACCCCUGUGAACCUACCGAAACGUUGCCUCGGCGGGCGCCCGGCCCCGCGCCGGGCGUCGAGCCCGCCGGUGGCCCACUACUCUGUCUCUGCAGCGUGGCAUCUCCGAGUACAAGAAAAACAAGUCAAAACUUUCAACAACGGAUCUCUUGGCUCUA